This 203-nucleotide long non-coding RNA is filed under the name Manihot esculenta (cassava). RNAcentral's name for it is "long non-coding RNA (MESC_LNC009954)". The record is from RNAcentral. Lineage: Eukaryota; Viridiplantae; Streptophyta; Magnoliopsida; Malpighiales; Euphorbiaceae.
CCUUCGGCGGCCGAAUCCCCUAAACAGAGCCGAACCUCAAAAACACUCGGGGGCAAGCUGUGGCAGCCUAAGCCACCAUGCAAGGGGUUCGGCGGCCGAAUGCUCCUUCGGCUGCCGAACCUGAGUUCAUCCAGAACUCAGCCCCGACGGCAACCUCCCUCCUUCAUCCACUUCUUACUCGCAAAACAUGCAUAACUCCUCCC